This 169-nucleotide ribosomal RNA is filed under the name uncultured bacterium. Its description in RNAcentral is "partial 16S rRNA". It matches the Rfam family "Bacterial small subunit ribosomal RNA", at positions 338 to 524 of the family's 1533-position model. The record is from RNAcentral.
CCUACGGGAGGCAGCAGUGGGGAAUAUUGGACAAUGGGCGCAAGCCUGAUCCAGCAAUGCCGCGUGAGUGAUGAAGGCCUUAGGGUUGUAAAGCUCUUUCGCCCGCGACGAUGAUGACGGUACCGGGAGAAGAAGCCCCGGCUAACUUCGUGCCAGCAGCCGCGGUAAU